ACGCCGCCGGCCGCGCCCGGCCCGCCUCGCCGGGCAGAGACCGAGACCCCCGCGCCGGCCGAGGAUUUUUAGAGCACCUCAGACGACAUCCUAAAUGGAUGAUUAACAUCACAAUGGCAGAGCUCACCGUGGAGAAUGGCAGCUGUAUGGACUGGCAAAAGCGAUGCCUUGUGUUGGAGUCCCAGCUCUUCAAAUUCCGCUUGCAGGCAAGCAAGAUCCGAGAGCUGUUAGCUGAGAAGAUGCAGGAAUUGGAACAGAGAGUGAUAGAAGCAGAGCAAAGAGCUGAGGAUGCAGAGAAACAGGUCAGAGUUAUGGAAGAGAAGAUAAAACUUGCCAAUGCGAAGACUGGUGAAUCUGACAGCACCCUGCACAAGAAAUACCAGGAGCUGAUGUGCACAAUGCAAGGAAAGGAAGAUCUGAUCAACAAAUUGGAGACAGAGCUAGCAAAACAGAAACAGCUGAGGACUGAGGAAGCCAAAAUUGUUCAAGAGAAAGCUGCCAAGAUCAAAGAGUGGGUAACAUUUAAGCUCAGGGAGCUUGAGCUAGAAAAUUACCACCUGAAAAACUGUAAUCAGAGACUGAUGGAGCAAAUUGAAGCUCUUCGGGAUACAUUGCAAGACAUGACCAGCAUUCCUCCCUUGGAUUCUCUUUGGAGCUGUGAUUCCCUGAAGCCUCAAGCAUCAGGAGCCUCUUUUGCUGAGAAGAUAGAGCAGAAAUCUGUGCUCCUUGCACCUGGUUUCAGAGAGGUGUGUCAGACAGGACCUUCCAAACAUGUCCUCUCUUCAGCAAACAUAGUCCUUGCCAAUGACACCAUUACUGAGAAUGGAGAGGAUAAAUCUCUGCUUUCCCAGAGCAUGCUGAAGCUCAUAUCUGACCCAUCAAGCUGGAAUCUCUCCACAGAGAGAAAUGUAUUUCCAACUGUAAGUUCUGAACAUGGUUUAGGGUGCUCUGGUCCCAUAUCACUGGACCCUCCAGCUGAAACCACAAGAAUUCUUGAGGCUUUGACCUUCCAAUCAUCUCUGGAAGGAAACUGUAGUGCUGUGAGCACCUUGCAACAAGUGGGUUUGGAUAGCACCUGCUUCUCUGAUGAUCUGAGUGCCAGAUUCCAUUCCCACCAGCUGGACUCCUCUUCCUCAGCAGAAAUUAUGAGCAUGCUUGAGGGACAUCUCCAAACUGCUGAGCCACCUCUGGUUGUGUCAACAUCAGCUGUUACAGCACAUUCCUUCUUUCCAGGGAGGGAGUGCAGCCUUGGCAGUAGUAUGACCUUUCCAAAAAUACGAACACCCAGUACACCAAGAGGCAGUAUCCACAGCCAACCACAGUCAGGGGCUAAUUCUUUCCAUCGUGUAAUGCACUUAGAGACUAGCACUUUCCAGCCCAUGACAGACCCUCCAGUCAGCUCUGGGCACGUGGAGGAGACAGACAUUGAUGAUGAUGGAGUAAUGGAGAAGAUGGAGACAGAAUGUGGCCUGCUGAGGGGAGAAGCUGCAGCGUGUGAGGGAAUGUGCCACUUAGCUGCAGAGCAAAGAGAAGCUGUGAGUUCUGAGUCUGGCACACUUGACCCGGGAUGCAAACCUCCCACACCACCGCUGCACCGAUUCCCAUCGUGGGAGAGCCGAAUCUAUGCCGUGGCCAAGUCUGGCAUGAGGCUGUCUGAAGUGGCCAUGGUGAAUGAUACUUCCAGCUGCUUUUCCAAUUUCUCGUGUUCAACUUCUGGGCCAUUCACCUAUCUCAUCUACAGAAAUGUCACAGUGCCAGUCUACACUACACUGAAGGGGAAAGCCACACAGAUCAGCAAUGUGCCUUUCUUAGAUGAGUCUUCAGGCUCUGAUGAUGACUGUGGCUCCCAUGCCAGUUUCAGGACUUCUGCUGCUGGAUCUGAGAACAGGAAAGCUAGCAUGCCAGGCAGCCCCCGGGCCGUGAAGAGAGGUGUGUCUGUGUCCUCACUGAGCUCUGAGAGUGACUAUGCCAUCCCUCCUGAUGCCUACUCCUUGGAUGGUGACUAUUCAGAGCCAGAGCACAAGCUGCAGCGAACAUCUUCCUAUUCCACUGAUGGUGGGAUCUGCUCUGAGCCCAUGGAGAAAUCAGGCUACUUGCUGAAAAUGGGCAGCCAGGUAAAGACGUGGAAAAGACGAUGGUUUGUUCUCAGAAACAGACAAAUCAUGUACUACAAAUCCCCGAGUGAUGUUAUCCGCAAACCACAAGGGCAGCUGGAGCUGAAUUCUUCAUGCCAAAUUGUCAGGGGUGAAGGGUCCCAAACAUUCCAGCUUGUGACAGAAAAGAGAACCUACUUCUUGACAGCAGACUCUCCCAACAUCCUGGAGGAAUGGAUUCAUGUCCUGCAGAGCAUCCUGAGAGUACAAGUGAGCGGUCCUGUUGGUGUUCCUCACAGUGAUGCUAAACCUACUGUGAAAGGCUGGCUCACUAAGGUCAAGCACGGUCACUCUAAGCUGGUCUGGUGUGCACUGAUUGGAAAAACUUUCUACUACUAUCGAAAUCAUGAAGAUAGGUGUCCCUUGGGACAUCUGCCUCUGCGUGAGUCCAAGGUGGAAGAAGUAGACCGCUCCUGUGACUCUGAUGAAGAUUAUGAAACUACUGGUGGAGGACUUCUCUCAUCCCACUGUACACUGGUGAUUCACCCACAGGACCAGAGUCCCACAUAUUUACUUAUCCGCACCAAGCAGGAGAAGAACACCUGGCUGUACCAUCUGACCGUUGCAGCUGGUAGCAGUAAUGCCACAGUGGGCACAUCUUAUGAACAGCUCAUUGGAAAACUAUUGGAUGCAGAGGGAGACCCUAAUUCUCCUCUGUGGAAGCAUCCUAUGUUGUGCUACAGUAAAGAUGGGUUGCACACAUCCCUCACUACUCUGCCAUCAGAGGCUCUACAGACUGAAGCCCUGAAACUUUUUAAGUCCUGUCAGCUGUUCAUCAAUGUUCCUGUGGAGGCAUCCUCUAUUGAUUACCAUGUGUCACUUGCCCAGACAGCACUGCAGGUGUGCUUGACACAUACUGAGCUGCAGAAUGAAAUUUACUGUCAGCUUGUUAAACAGACCAGCUGCCGACAACCCCAGAACCACUCAGUCAUUCAGUGCUGGCAGCUCCUGGCUUUGUGUGCUCCUCUGUUUCUGCCUCAACAUCACUUCCUCUGGUACGUCAGGCAGCACUUGCAGCGCCAUGCAGACCCCAGGAGUGAGACAGGCAAGUAUGCCAUCUACUGCCAGAGAUCCGUGGAGCGCACGGUGCAGGCUGGAGAGAGGGAAGCCAAGCCCUCCCGCAUGGAGAUCGUGUCCAUCCUGCUGAGAAAUCCCUACCACCACUCACUCCCCUUCAGCAUCCCAGUGCACUUCAUGAAUGGGACGUACCAGGUUGUAGGUUUUGAUGGUUCCUCAACUGUUGAUGAAUUCAUCCAGAGACUGAACCAGGAAACAGGAAUGAGGAAGCCAUCCCAUAUGGGAUUUUCUCUGUUCACAGAUGAUCCUUCUGGCAGGAAUUUGGAACAUUGUUUGCCUGGCAAUAUGAAGAUCUGUGAUGUAAUUUCCAAAUGGGAACAAGCCUUAAAAGAAUUGCAUCCUGGGAAAUAUGAAGGUGGCACAAGAAUUGUAAAGUUGACCUACAAAAACAGACUGUAUUUCCGGAGCCAGGCCAAAGGUGAGACAGACCGUGAGCGGCUGCUGCUGGCCUUCCAAGUGAGCAAUGAGAUAGCCAAUGGAAGGUUUCCUGUUAAUAAGGAAUUAGCUCUGGAAAUGGUGGCUCUGAUGGCUCAGGUGGAAUAUGGGGAUUUGGAUCGACCCGGAUCUUCAAGUCCUGGGGGACCAUCACAAUUGAAAAUGCAGCAUCUUCUCCACCAGGUUUUAGAUAAAUUCUACCCCAAACACUACAAGCAAAACAUUACUCCUGAACAACUCAGGCAGCUGACCGACAGGCUGGCGACAAAGUGGAUGGUGCUGCAGGGGUGCUCUCCCCCAGAAUGCAUUCGAAUUUAUUUGACGGUGGCCCGGAAAUGGCCUCUCUUUGGAACCAAAAUAUUUGCUGCUAAGCCUAUUUUGCCUUCCUCCCUGGAAGACAGUCCAGUCUGGAUAGCUGUGAACGAAGAUGGUAUCAGCAUACUGGAUUAUAACACAAUGCAUUUGAAAGUCUCUUAUUCAUACUCCUCUGUGCUGACCUUUGGAGGCUGUCGAGAUGACUUCAUGAUUGUAGUCAGUAAAAUGAAAGAAAGAAGUUCUGGAAAAGAUAGCACUGAAAAACUCCUCUUCACAAUGGCAAUUCCAAAGAUUGUUGAAGCAACACUUCUGAUUGCCAGCUACAUUAACUAUCGUUCAGCUCCUUCCCUGCUGUGUUCCACACAGCCCUCACCAAGCCAAGCACCUGCCAAGAAGCCCUGGGACACUGAAAAUCUGUGCUUUUUUCCUUCCGUGCCCCGAAGCACAAAGGGGCCCACCCUGCUCUAAGGGCUUGUUCCACAUGAGCUGAUUUUGUUGGUUAUAUACCACAGAUUAAUGCAGGCUCUGAUUCCUUUUCCAUGAUAAUAGACAAAGUUCCUUAGAGGUAGAGGCAGUGUACUUUCUCUUAAAAACAAAAAGUUGAUUUGGGGGACUGUGUGGGAGUUUGCUUUCUGUGACACAUUCCAUCCAAAACACCAUUCCUCAGGUCAUUUGCCUGCACAGUGCUCCAGUCAUUACAGCUGCACUCAUUCUUCCAUCUCCUACUCUACUGCCUUGCUUUACAUGUGCAUAUAUUUUCUUUGAUCCCUCCCAUUUUCAGAUUUCAAACAACAUAAACUUUUGUGUUAUUGCUCAGACAUGAAAGAAAGACAUUGCUAAGAAAGAAGAGGAAUUAAACUCACAAGAAUAAUUCUGAUGCAAGUCAAGGGUGAUUUCAGACCUGAAAUAGUGAGUACAGAAUUAGAGUUCAGCAGUACUUAAGAGUAUUUUCAACCUUAAAUAAAGGUGGAAGCCUAGGGUCUUUUCAUGUUGAGUACUGGGAGCACCUGGGACCUGGACAGUGUCAGAGAAUGCCCUGGCACUACAGGAGCGGUGCCUUUUGGAAACUGACACUGUUCUAUGAACAUCAGAUUGCUGCUGCAGGGCAGGGCUCCGUGUCUCACAUGCUCCACUCUCAGACAAGCACUUUCUAACAUUUCUGAUAACCACUGUUGUAGAUGUGUCUGGAACUGCACAUUAUCUCAGAAAAAAAGAAGACAAGGCAAGCAAAUUUUGUACUUUUUCUGUCUUUCGGCAACUGGGACCGAUCUUCCCAGACAAGCUCUGCCAUUCUGACUUGACAGAAGCUGCUUCUUUUAAACUCCUGCUUCUUUCAUGUACCAUAAGCAAGGAGGAGGUAGUCAGCAAUUGUGUACUCAUGUUCUUCUGACUUUCCUAAAGAAUCUUUAGUGGACAACUACACCAUGGGCACAGGAUGCUUACUCCUUCAAAAGAUUGCAGAAGCUAUCUUUCAGACUUUUUGCUGUGACACAGCUUCUUGGUAAUUUCUUCAGUGCACAUUCUGAGGACUUCAUGGGACUUUUACAGCACAGUCAGCACUCCCAGCACAGCCUUGAGCCCGUGAUCUGUCCACUCUGUUGAGCCAUCUUUUCUCUUCUGACACAAAAGGCAGUGGCACAUCCCCAAGCUGCUGCCUUUCACUUGGACAAUGAGAAUACUUCUGUGACAUGAGCUAACUAACCUCUGUCUUUCAAACUUUGUAGGACUGUGGAAAAAACCCCACAAAUCCCCCUAUCUCUACCUUCUUGCAUGAUGGUAUGGUGCCAAGUGUUCAUUUACAGAUUAUGUGGACAAGCAUGGUACAGUAUUGUAUGCAAAUAAGCAUGAAUCCAGGCUCCUGCCAACUUGUGGGUUUAGCUUUGGACACUUCAGUCACCUCAUUAAUAUUACUAAGGAGUUGUGGAAUAUAGAGAGAAAAAUACCAGGU
Molecule: RNA transcript, 5928 nt
Organism: Melospiza georgiana
Lineage: Eukaryota; Metazoa; Chordata; Aves; Passeriformes; Passerellidae
Gene: PLEKHH1
Gene name: pleckstrin homology, MyTH4 and FERM domain containing H1
Exons: 30
Source: RefSeq, a predicted model, not a curated record